RNAcentral lists this unclassified non-coding RNA (2875 nucleotides) under Patiria miniata (bat star). RNAcentral describes it as "uncharacterized LOC119741694, transcript variant X2". The record is from RNAcentral. Lineage: Eukaryota; Metazoa; Echinodermata; Asteroidea; Valvatida; Asterinidae.
CGAUCGAGUCAAGGCCUUUCCGGUUCGCGGUCAACUUGCGGACAAAACAGCUUGGUGUGUUUUGCAGAUCAUUGGUUUCCAUGAGGCAAUUGUAAGGCCACAAUGUCAACUGCACAAGGUGAAUUGUUCGUGAUUGGCGUGGAUGUGGGCGGGACCAACACCGAUGCUGUUUGUUUGCAAGGAAGUCAUGUCGUUGCCUCCAGUAAGGUGCCAACUACCGAGAACGUCACCGAUGGAUUGAAGCAGGCGCUGUCCAAUGUUAUUACCGAGUCAAGGCAGAGCUUGGGUAGAGAUGUUCCUGUUAGCCGCAUCAACAUCGGCACCACGCAUUUUGUCAAUGCCGUCAUCCAGAGGAAGGGCCUGACACCGGUUUCGGUCAUGAGGCUUUGUGGCACAUCCUCCCGCCUGAUGGAACCAUUUAUUGACUUCCCAUUGGAUCUCAAGCAGAUUGUGUGUGCCUCGAUUCAUAUGGUGAGUGGUGGGUACCAGUACAACGGGGAAGAGAUCACCCCAUUGGACGAAGACGAGAUCAUUGGCUGCAUCCAAACCAUCCGAGCCAAUGGCAUCAACAAUGUGGUUGUUUGUGGCAUCUUUUCUCCAGUGAAUCCUGCUCAAGAGUUGAAGGUUGCCGAGCUGUUUAGCGCCCACCACCCGUCGGCCAGUGUCACCCUAUCCCACCAGGUGGGCCAACUGAGCCUCCUGGAGCGGGAGAAUGCUUCUGUACUCAACGAGUGUCUCAAGCCCUUGUGUGCCCGGACUGUGGCCACGUUUGCCCACACCCUGGCAGAGCUGGGCCUGAAUUGCCCGUUCUUCCUGACCCAGAAUGACGGCACAGUAAUCAGUUCUGAUCAAGCAUUGAAGUUCCCUGUACACACAUUCUCUUCAGGACCAACUAACAGUAUGCGGGGAGCUGCCAAACUCUCAGGUGUUGGGGACGGCAUCGUUGUGGACAUCGGUGGCACUUCCUCCGACGUCGGCUUCCUACAGGGCGGUUUCCCCAAGGAGGCGUCGACCAAAGUCAAAGUGGGAGGAGUCAACACCAACUUCCAGAUGCCGGACGUUGUCUGCAAGGGGCUCGGAGGGGGGUCCCUCGUAAGAUUCUCUGAGGCAGAUGGACAAAUUACCUCGCUGACUGUCGGGCCGGACAGCGUCGGCUAUCUGCUCAGCAAGGAAGCCAAGAUCUUUGGUGGUCAGACAUUGACCGCCAGCGAUAUCGCAGUGGCGGCCGGAAUGGCCUCGUUUGGCGACCCUGCCAAGGUCGGCGGCUUGCCCAGUGACCUUGUCCAGAAAGCAGUGGACGAGAUACACGAUAUGCUGGAAGAUCUGAUCGACCAGGUCAAGUUGAGUGCUGCUGACGUGCCUGUGGUCAUCGUUGGUGGGGGGAGUAUCUUAGUGGAUGAGAAACGAGGACUGAAAGGAACGUCUAAAGUCAUCAAGCCACCACAUUAUCAGGUAGCGAAUGCAAUUGGGGCAGCCUUGAGCCAAGUCAGCGGUGUGUGGGACACUGUGGUCAGCCUGGACCGAAUGACCAGGGAGGAGGCUGUACAGGAAAUUAAGCAACAGGCCAAGCAGAUUGCCGUUGAGCGUGGUGCUCAGCCAGACAGUGUACAAAUCACAGAGGUGACGAUUGUACCCCUUGCCUACAUCACCAACAAUGCCACGCGCAUCAAGGUCAAAGCUGUGGGGGAUCUGACCGUGAAGGAUCCAACCGUGAGGGCUCAAGCAUCAGCGGGAAUAGCAUCUCAUGAGAUGGUAGAAGAUCACAAGCCUAUCAGUGAUUCCCAUACCGACAAGCCUGAAGCUAGGACUAGCCAAGAAACCACGAACCUGCCAGCCCCACCACCAUCGGAACCCACCCUUGCCUUGCCAGACCACCAGGUGGACCCGGCCACCGGUGAAUGGAUCCUAUCAGAGUUUGACGUGGAGUGUAUCGCCAUAGGGGCUGGUAUCUUAGGCUGCGGGGGAGGGGGAAGCCCCCAUCUAGGUCUGCUCAUCGCCCGUAAAGUACUGCAGGAGGGAAAAAAGAUAAGAGUCAUUGCUCCAGAGAGACUAGGACUUACCCCCGAACUGACCGGACUAGUGGUUCCAAUCGCCUUCAUGGGAGCUCCGGGGGUAUUCAUUGAGAAACUACAGGCUGGUUUUGAGUCCACCCGGGCAAUAGAAUGCAUACAGCAGGUGGCACAGGCUGCAUUUGGAGACAGGAUACCAGACAACAUAGAUGGUGUUCAAGUGAAGAGAGACAACGGUGUGGUUUAUGUUGAUGACUUUCCAAAGGUGGGGAGUGGUUCGACUCCCCCCUCACCCCCGGCAGGCUGUAAGGUGGUUGCCUUAAUGAGUGCUGAAAUAGGGGGCACUAAUGCCAUGGAGCCCUUAGCAACAGCGGCCAUGUUGGAUUUACCCGUCGUUGACUGUGAUGGAAUGGGCCGGGCCUUCCCAGAACUUCAGAUGAUUAUUCAUUCCAUUUAUGGUCAUCCAUUGUGCCCGAGUGGCUUAGUUGACGACAAGGGUCGUAGAGCGGUGACGUUUUCAGCCGAGAGCAACAAGCACUUGGAAAACCACUUCAGGGCCGUUGCAGCUGAUAUGGGAUCUGUGAUUUGUCGAGAGUCAUCACAGGUGGUUUCGCCCGUGGGAAGCUGAUAGUGGAAGGAACAGGGCCAGAGUACAACGGCCAAGAGCUGGAGAUUGAGUUUCAGAACGAGAACCUGGUGGCAAGACGCAUCAGCAAGGACCACAGCGAGGUCGUAGCGACGACCCCUGACCUCAUCAGUAUCGUGGACGCCGACCUGGGUCAUCCGAUCAGCACGGAGGAGCUUCGUUACGGUCUGCGCGUUGCAGUCUUGGUGCUGGCCUCGCCGCCAUUGCUACGCAGCCAGAG